Lagopus leucura (white-tailed ptarmigan) is the source of this 355-nucleotide long non-coding RNA. RefSeq lists it as uncharacterized. Lineage: Eukaryota; Metazoa; Chordata; Aves; Galliformes; Phasianidae. The transcript has 3 exons. The record is from RefSeq and is a predicted model, not a curated record.
AGUUCCCAGUUGCAGGAUGAGGCGCUUUGCAGGAGGGGGAUGAGCCUGGAGCUGCGAGGUUCCCUCAGCACUGGGACGGCAGAGAAUCACAGGACCGUAGGUGUGGGAAGAGACCUCUGGAGAUCAUUAAGCCUAACUCCUCUGCAAAGCCUUUCGUCAGAAGAGAUGCUCCAGGCCCCGUAUCAUCUUAGCGGCCUUCUGCUGGCCUCCUUCCUGGAGGUUCCCAGCUCUCCAGCUCAUCCAGGUCCUGCCGACGGGCAGCAGAGCCUUGAGGUGCAUCAGCAGUUCUUCCAGGCUUUGUACCAUCGGUGUAGUUGCUGCACAGUCCCCUCAUCAGGGUCACCGAUGAAGAUUU